GCGGCUGUAGCUCAGUGGUAGAGCGCGACCUUGCCAAGGUCGAUGUCGAGGGUUCAAAUCCCUUCAGCCGCUCCA
Molecule: transfer RNA, 75 nt
Filed under: bacterium
Lineage: Bacteria
Also listed under: 1 other name
Description: tRNA-Gly
Rfam family: tRNA
About the family: Transfer RNA (tRNA) molecules are approximately 80 nucleotides in length. Their secondary structure includes four short double-helical elements and three loops (D, anti-codon, and T loops).
Source: RNAcentral